RNAcentral lists this ribosomal RNA (425 nucleotides) under uncultured bacterium. RNAcentral's name for it is "partial 16S ribosomal RNA". It matches the Rfam family "Bacterial small subunit ribosomal RNA", at positions 354 to 796 of the family's 1533-position model. The record is from RNAcentral.
GUAGGGAAUCUUGCGCAAUGGGCGAAAGCCUGACGCAGCCAUGCCGCGUGAAUGAUGAAGGUCUUAGGAUUGUAAAAUUCUUUCACCGGGGACGAUAAUGACGGUACCCGGAGAAGAAGCCCCGGCUAACUUCGUGCCAGCAGCCGCGGUAAUACGAAGGGGGCUAGCGUUGCUCGGAAUUACUGGGCGUAAAGGGAGCGUAGGCGGAUAGUUUAGUCAGAGGUGAAAGCCCAGGGCUCAACCUUGGAAUUGCCUUUGAUACUGGCUGUCUUGAGUACGGGAGAGGUGAGUGGAACUCCGAGUGUAGAGGUGAAAUUCGUAGAUAUUCGGAAGAACACCAGUGGCGAAGGCGACUCACUGGCCCGUUACUGACGCUGAGGCGCGAAAGCGUGGGGAGCAAACAGGAUUAGAAACCCCUGUAGUCC